UAACUCAUGCUAUUGGCCAAAAGAGAGCAAAAACAUAGACAAAAAAAAAGCUCAUACACGGCGCUGAAGAGAAACGAGAAAAUCUCUUUUUCAAAACCAAAACACCUAUCGGUACUAUUGUUUUUUGGCUAGAUCUAUCAUUUAUUUUUUCUUGUUUACGUUCUACUAUUUGUUCUUAUCCUUGUUGGUUAGAUCUUCC
This 199-nucleotide long non-coding RNA is filed under the name Lathyrus oleraceus (garden pea). RNAcentral's name for it is "Pisum sativum (pea) long non-coding RNA (PSAT_LNC017420)". The record is from RNAcentral. Lineage: Eukaryota; Viridiplantae; Streptophyta; Magnoliopsida; Fabales; Fabaceae.